This 67-nucleotide transfer RNA is filed under the name Marmota monax (woodchuck). RNAcentral's name for it is "tRNA.Ala". It matches the Rfam family "tRNA", at positions 6 to 65 of the family's 71-position model. Rfam says of the family: Transfer RNA (tRNA) molecules are approximately 80 nucleotides in length. Their secondary structure includes four short double-helical elements and three loops (D, anti-codon, and T loops). The record is from RNAcentral. Lineage: Eukaryota; Metazoa; Chordata; Mammalia; Rodentia; Sciuridae.
GGCUGUGGCUCAGUGGUAGAGUGCUUGCCUAGCAUGUAUGAGGCACUGGGUUCGAUUCUCAGCACCA